CUGCCUUUGCUGCGCUGAUUGACUGCACAACAAAAGAACAAUUAGUCAGCACAACUAUUUCAUACUCUUGUUUGUUAAAUUCACGCUUGUUUAUAUACUGUUCUGAUGAUAACAUCAAAGCUCAAAAUCAGAUUUUUCCCACCAAUGAUGUCAUCUCAAAAUGUUAGAAAAUUGUGCUAAAAAACAUGUAACAACUAGCAAGGAUAAACUUUAAUUCAAAAUAUGUUUCAACUGGGAGAAUUGAAUCCGUUACUGUUACCUUGUUAAGAAUGCGCUGCAGCCG
This 283-nucleotide unclassified non-coding RNA is filed under the name Hevea brasiliensis (rubber tree). Lineage: Eukaryota; Viridiplantae; Streptophyta; Magnoliopsida; Malpighiales; Euphorbiaceae. The record is from RNAcentral.